Molecule: transfer RNA, 71 nt
Filed under: Ictidomys tridecemlineatus (thirteen-lined ground squirrel)
Lineage: Eukaryota; Metazoa; Chordata; Mammalia; Rodentia; Sciuridae
Description: Spermophilus tridecemlineatus (thirteen-lined ground squirrel) tRNA
Rfam family: tRNA
About the family: Transfer RNA (tRNA) molecules are approximately 80 nucleotides in length. Their secondary structure includes four short double-helical elements and three loops (D, anti-codon, and T loops). Further hydrogen bonds mediate the characteristic L-shaped molecular structure. tRNAs have two regions of fundamental functional importance: the anti-codon, which is responsible for specific mRNA codon recognition, and the 3' end, to which the tRNAs corresponding amino acid is attached (by aminoacyl-tRNA synthetases). tRNAs cope with the degeneracy of the genetic code in two manners: having more than one tRNA (with a specific anti-codon) for a particular amino acid; and 'wobble' base-pairing, i.e. permitting non-standard base-pairing at the 3rd anti-codon position.
Source: Rfam by way of RNAcentral
GGAGGUAUAGCUCAAUGGUAGAGCAUUUGCCUGGCCUGUGUGAGGCCCUGGGUUCAUUCCCCAGUACCCUA